CUUGCUCUUAUGAAGUUAGCGGCGGACGGGUGAGUAACACGUGGGUAACCUGCCCAUAAGACUGGGAUAACUCCGGGAAACCGGGGCUAAUACCGGAUAACAUUUUGAACCGCAUGGUUCGAAAUUGAAAGGCGGCUUCGGCUGUCACUUAUGGAUGGACCCGCGUCGCAUUAGCUAGUUGGUGAGGUAACGGCUCACCAAGGCAACGAUGCGUAGCCGACCUGAGAGGGUGAUCGGCCACACUGGGACUGAGACACGGCCCAGACUCCUACGGGAGGCAGCAGUAGGGAAUCUUCCGCAAUGGACGAAAGUCUGACGGAGCAACGCCGCGUGAGUGAUGAAGGCUUUCGGGUCGUAAAACUCUGUUGUUAGGGAAGAACAAGUGCUAGUUGAAUAAGCUGGCACCUUGACGGUACCUAACCAGAAAGCCACGGCUAACUACGUGCCAGCAGCCGCGGUAAUACGUAGGUGGCAAGCGUUAUCCGGAAUUAUUGGGCGUAGAGCGCGCGCAGGUGGUUUCUUAAGUCUGAUGUGAAAGCCCACGGCUCACCCGUGGAGGGUCAUUGGAAACUGGGAGACUUGAGUGCAGAAGGAGGAAAGUGGAAUUCCAUGUGUAGCGGUGAAAUGCGUAGAGAUAUGGAGG
This 643-nucleotide ribosomal RNA is filed under the name Bacillus cereus. Its description in RNAcentral is "bacterial SSU rRNA". It matches the Rfam family "Bacterial small subunit ribosomal RNA", at positions 75 to 704 of the family's 1533-position model. The record is from RNAcentral. Lineage: Bacteria; Bacillati; Bacillota; Bacilli; Caryophanales; Bacillaceae.